RNAcentral lists this ribosomal RNA (484 nucleotides) under uncultured bacterium. Its description in RNAcentral is "partial 16S ribosomal RNA". It matches the Rfam family "Bacterial small subunit ribosomal RNA", at positions 30 to 507 of the family's 1533-position model. The record is from RNAcentral.
AUUGAACGCUGGCGGCAGGCCUAACACAUGCAAGUCGAGCGGAUGAAGGGAGCUUGCUCCUGGAUUCAGCGGCGGACGGGUGUGUAAUGCCUAGGAAUCUGCCUGGUAGUGGGGGAUAACGUCCGGAAACGGGCGCUAAUACCGCCUACGUCCUGAGGGAGAAAGUGGGGGAUCUUCGGACCUCACGCUAUCAGAUGAGCCUAGGUCGGAUUAGCUAGUUGGUGGGGUAAAGGCCUACCAAGGCGACGAUCCGUAACUGGUCUGAGAGGAUGGUCAGUCACACUGGAACGGAGACACGGUCCAGACUCCUACGGGAGGCAGCAGUGGGGAAUAUUGGACAAUGGGCGAAAGCCUGAUCCAGCCAUGCCGCGUGUGUGAAGAAGGUCUUCGGAUUGUAAAGCACUUUAAGUUGGGAGGAAGGGCAGUAAGUUAAUACCUUGCUGUUUUGACGUUACCAACAGAAUAAGCACCGGCUAACUUCGUG